CCUCCGGAGGGCUCCCCACCCCGGACGCCCCGCCGGGCAAAGGGGGGACAGGGGCAGCGCGCGCGGAGGGGCGGCCGGGGGGGCUGCCUUUGCCCCCCUCCCUUUCCCCCGGCCGAGGGGUCGCGCAAGAAAGCCCCCCCUCCCCAGCCCAGAAACAGAGCUGACCGACAACGACGGCCCUGCAAGGACAGAGCAGCUGAAGGCAGGGAGGAGGAGGUGGAGGCUCCGAAGGGACGGGAGACUUUGGCCCAAGAAAUCCGGGGAAUGCUAUCUUGGAAUGCAACACAAAUUUUGAGGAGGGAUUCAGCUGAACCUUCAACUUUGCUCAAAUGGAUUCCUUGAAUUUCUCCGCCUUUUGGACGAGCAAGGGAAAAAAACAUCGUUUGAAGC
Molecule: long non-coding RNA, 390 nt
Organism: Thamnophis elegans (Western terrestrial garter snake)
Lineage: Eukaryota; Metazoa; Chordata; Lepidosauria; Squamata; Natricidae
Exons: 4
Source: RefSeq, a predicted model, not a curated record